RNAcentral lists this unclassified non-coding RNA (218 nucleotides) under Hevea brasiliensis (rubber tree). Lineage: Eukaryota; Viridiplantae; Streptophyta; Magnoliopsida; Malpighiales; Euphorbiaceae. The record is from RNAcentral.
GAGAGAGCAAUGGGUUUCAAAUCACAUAAUUGCAUACGUUUCAGGUUGCAAAGAAACUUUAUUAACCCCUCAAUUCAACAAAUAGUGAAAAUAAAGGAACUUCUAGAGGGAACAACGGAUACUCCCCACUUGGAACUUUAGGUGAGUGCAACACUACAGAGUCAAAAGGUUCUAUUUAUAGUGUUCAAUCAACAUAUUAAAUUCAACAAUAAGUAAAC